Molecule: ribosomal RNA, 202 nt
Filed under: uncultured bacterium
Lineage: Bacteria
Description: partial 16S ribosomal RNA
Rfam family: Bacterial small subunit ribosomal RNA
Source: RNAcentral
UGAAAGCCCCGGGGCUCAACCUCGGAAUUGCAUUUGAAACUGGCAAACUAGAGUACUGUAGAGGGGGUAGAAUUUCAGGUGUAGCGGUGAAAUGCGUAGAGAUCUGAAGGAAUACCGGUGGCGAAGGCGGCCCCCCUGGACAGAUACUGACACUCAGAUCGCGAAAGCGUGGGGAGCAAACCAGGAUUAGAUACCCUGGUAG